RNAcentral lists this transfer RNA (77 nucleotides) under Dehalococcoidia bacterium. Its description in RNAcentral is "tRNA-Met". It matches the Rfam family "tRNA". From Rfam's summary of the family: Transfer RNA (tRNA) molecules are approximately 80 nucleotides in length. Their secondary structure includes four short double-helical elements and three loops (D, anti-codon, and T loops). RNAcentral also lists the same sequence under 1 other name. The record is from RNAcentral. Lineage: Bacteria; Bacillati; Chloroflexota; Dehalococcoidia.
GGCAACGUAGCUCAGUCGGUUAGAGCGGGCGCUUCAUAAGCGUCAGGUCGCUGGUUCAAGUCCAGCCGUUGCCACCA